Molecule: ribosomal RNA, 497 nt
Filed under: uncultured bacterium
Lineage: Bacteria
Description: partial 16S ribosomal RNA
Rfam family: Bacterial small subunit ribosomal RNA
Source: RNAcentral
GAUGGACGCUGGCGGCGUGCCUAAUACAUGCAAGUCGAGCGAACAGACGAGGAGCUUGCUCCUUUGACGUUAGCGGCGGACGGGUGAGUAACACGUGGGUAACCUACCUAUAAGACUGGGAUAACUUCGGGAAACCGGAGCUAAUACCGGAUAAUAUUUCGAACCGCAUGGUUCGAUAGUGAAAGAUGGCUCUGCUAUCACUUAUAGAUGGACCUGCGCCGUAUUAGCUAGUUGGUAAGGUAACGGCUUACCAAGGCAACGAUACGUAGCCGACCUGAGAGGGUGAUCGGCCACACUGGAACUGAGACACGGUCCAGACUCCUACGGGAGGCAGCAGUAGGGAAUCUUCCGCAAUGGGCGAAAGCCUGACGGAGCAACGCCGCGUGAGUGAUGAAGGUCUUCGGAUCGUAAAACUCUGUUAUUAGGGAAGAACAAACGUGUAAGUAACUGUGCACGUCUUGACGGUACCUAAUCAGAAAGCCACGGCUAACUACGUG